Non-coding RNA from Podarcis lilfordi (Lilford's wall lizard), 74 nucleotides. The record is from the annotation of a GenBank genome assembly. NCBI's taxonomy places the organism in Eukaryota, Metazoa, Chordata, Lepidosauria, Squamata, Lacertidae.
AGGCUGUAACUCAGUGGUAGAGCAUCUGCUCUGCAUGCAGAAGGUCCCGGGUUCAAUCUCUGCAAGCAUGUCUG